GCCGAAGUGGUGAAAUUGGCAGACGCGCUGGACUCAAAAUCCAGUGGUAGCGAUACCGUGCGGGUUCAAGUCCCGCCUUCGGCACCA
RNAcentral lists this transfer RNA (87 nucleotides) under Opitutia bacterium. Its description in RNAcentral is "tRNA-Leu". It matches the Rfam family "tRNA". From Rfam's summary of the family: Transfer RNA (tRNA) molecules are approximately 80 nucleotides in length. Their secondary structure includes four short double-helical elements and three loops (D, anti-codon, and T loops). Further hydrogen bonds mediate the characteristic L-shaped molecular structure. tRNAs have two regions of fundamental functional importance: the anti-codon, which is responsible for specific mRNA codon recognition, and the 3' end, to which the tRNAs corresponding amino acid is attached (by aminoacyl-tRNA synthetases). tRNAs cope with the degeneracy of the genetic code in two manners: having more than one tRNA (with a specific anti-codon) for a particular amino acid; and 'wobble' base-pairing, i.e. permitting non-standard base-pairing at the 3rd anti-codon position. Lineage: Bacteria; Pseudomonadati; Verrucomicrobiota; Opitutia. The record is from RNAcentral. RNAcentral also lists the same sequence under 2 other names.